Molecule: ribosomal RNA, 193 nt
Filed under: Lachnospiraceae bacterium
Lineage: Bacteria; Bacillati; Bacillota; Clostridia; Lachnospirales; Lachnospiraceae
Description: partial 23S ribosomal RNA
Rfam family: Bacterial large subunit ribosomal RNA
Source: RNAcentral
GGCAUAGCAGAGAAGCCAAGUCUGGAAGGGAUAAACGCUGAAGGCAUCUAAGCGUGAAGCCCCCCUCAAGAUAAGACUUCCCAUUCCGAAAGGAAGUAAGACCCCUUAGAGACUAUGAGGUAGAUAGGCUUAGGCUGUAAGUGCAGUAAUGCAUGUAGGUACUAAGUACUAACGGUUCGAGGGUUUGACCUAA